RNAcentral lists this ribosomal RNA (883 nucleotides) under uncultured bacterium. RNAcentral's name for it is "bacterial SSU rRNA". It matches the Rfam family "Bacterial small subunit ribosomal RNA", at positions 57 to 943 of the family's 1533-position model. The record is from RNAcentral.
GCAAGCUGAGCGGUAGAUUUUCUUCGGAAGAUUGAGAGCGGCGUACGGGUGCGUAACACGUGUGCAACCUGCCCUUAUCAAGAGGAUAGCCCGGAGAAAUUCGGAUUAAUACUCUAUAAUAUAUUGACUGGCAUCGGUUAAUAUUGAAAGAUUUAUCGGAUAAGGAUGGGCACGCGCAAGAUUAGGUAGUUGGUAGGGUAACGGCCUACCAAGCCGAUGAUCUUUAGGGGGCCUGAGAGGGUGAUCCCCCACACUGGUACUGAGACACGGACCAGACUCCUACGGGAGGCAGCAGUGAGGAAUAUUGGACAAUGGGUUAGCGCCUGAUCCAGCCAUCCCGCGUGAAGGACGACGGUUCUAUGGAUUGUAAACUUCUUUUAUAUAGGGAUAAACCUACUCUCGUGAGAGUAGCUGAAGGUACUAUAUGAAUAAGCACCGGCUAACUCCGUGCCAGCAGCCGCGGUAAUACGGAGGGUGCAAGCGUUAUCCGGAUUUAUUGGGUUUAAAGGGUCCGUAGGCGGGCUUGUAAGUCAGUGGUGAAAUCCGGCAGCUCAACUGUCGAACUGCCAUUGAUACUGCAAGUCUUGAGUAAAUUAGAAGUGGCUGGAAUAAGUAGUGUAGCGGUGAAAUGCAUAGAUAUUACUUAGAACACCAAUUGCGAAGGCAGGUCACUAUGUUUUAACUGACGCUGAUGGACGAAAGCGUGGGUAGCGAACAGGAUUAGAUACCCUGGUAGUCCACGCCGUAAACGAUGAUUACUCGUUUUUGGGCUUUAUAGUUCAGAGACUAAGCGAAAGUGAUAAGUAAUCCACCUGGGGAGUACGUUCGCAAGAAUGAAACUCAAAGGAAUUGACGGGGGCCCGCACAAGCGGUGGAGCAUGUG